RNAcentral lists this ribosomal RNA (468 nucleotides) under uncultured bacterium. RNAcentral's name for it is "partial 16S ribosomal RNA". It matches the Rfam family "Bacterial small subunit ribosomal RNA", at positions 28 to 507 of the family's 1533-position model. The record is from RNAcentral.
GACGAACGCUGGCGGCGUGCUUAACACAUGCAAGUCGAACGGAAAGGCCCUGCUUUUGUGGGGUGCUCGAGUGGCGAACGGGUGAGUAACACGUGAGUAACCUGCCCUUGACUUUGGGAUAACUUCAGGAAACUGGGGCUAAUACCGGAUAGGAGCUCCUGCUGCAUGGUGGAGGUUGGAAAGUUUCGGCGGUUGGGGAUGGACGCGCGGCUUAUCAGCUUGUUGGUGGGGUAGUGGCUUACCAAGGCUUUGACGGGUAGCCGGCCUGAGAGGGUGACCGGCCACAUUGGGACUGAGAUACGGCCCAGACUCCUACGGGAGGCAGCAGUGGGGAAUAUUGCACAAUGGGCGGAAGCCGGAUGCAGCAACGCCGCGUGCGGGAUGACGGCCUUCGGGUUGUAAACCGCGUUCGCCUGGGACGAAGCGUGAGUGACGGUAAUGGGUAAAGAAGCACCGGCUAACUACGUG